AUCCCUGGCUCAGGAUGAACGCUAGCGGCAGGCUUAACACAUGCAAGUCGAGGGGUAUAGUUCUUCGGAAUUAGAGACCGGCGCACGGGUGCGUAACGCGUAUGCAAUCUACCUUUUGCAGAGGGAUAGCCCAGAGAAAUUUGGAUUAAUACCUCAUAGUAUAGCAGUUUCGCAUGAAACCACUAUUAAAGUCACAACGGCAAAAGAUGAGCAUGCGUCCCAUUAGCUAGUUGGUAAGGUAACGGCUUACCAAGGCUACGAUGGGUAGGGGUCCUGAGAGGGAGAUCCCCCACACUGGUACUGAGACACGGACCAGACUCCUACGGGAGGCAGCAGUGAGGAAUAUUGGACAAUGGGCGCAAGCCUGAUCCAGCCAUGCCGCGUGCAGGAUGACGGUCCUAUGGAUUGUAAACUGCUUUUGUACAGGAAGAAACACUCCCUCGUGAGGGAGCUUGACGGUACUGUAAGAAUAAGGAUUCGGCUAAA
RNAcentral lists this ribosomal RNA (486 nucleotides) under Flavobacterium sp. CL1.107. RNAcentral describes it as "bacterial SSU rRNA". It matches the Rfam family "Bacterial small subunit ribosomal RNA", at positions 15 to 501 of the family's 1533-position model. The record is from RNAcentral. Lineage: Bacteria; Pseudomonadati; Bacteroidota; Flavobacteriia; Flavobacteriales; Flavobacteriaceae.